UCAGAAAGCAUGGUUUUGCCUC
RNAcentral lists this non-coding RNA (22 nucleotides) under Arabidopsis thaliana (thale cress). The record is from RNAcentral. Lineage: Eukaryota; Viridiplantae; Streptophyta; Magnoliopsida; Brassicales; Brassicaceae.